Coffea arabica (coffee) is the source of this 973-nucleotide non-coding RNA. The record is from RefSeq and is a predicted model, not a curated record. Lineage: Eukaryota; Viridiplantae; Streptophyta; Magnoliopsida; Gentianales; Rubiaceae.
UAUAAUCUCCCUCUCCGCCUUCCUUCUCCAGAACAACCAUUUCAAUUAGCUUCUUCUUCCUUUUUUUUUUUCCUUUUUUUCACAAAAUUUUCAUAUUUGAUGCUGAAUUGCUGGCCGAUGAGGAAGAAAUCCCAGGAAUAGGAAGUGCCGUAUGACACUUUUAAAAAACGCAGCCGAUAGAGAGAGCGGCGGACACGCUUUUCCCAUCCACCGAUGUCAGGGCAAUCUUUGCAUGUGUUGCAAUUUUUGUUUUGUUUAAUUGGUCGGGUUUUGCAAGUCCGAUUUCACCCUCUCCCUCUUUCGCUGCGUGGUUGAUUUGAAACGGGUCUCUGAGGCGCAGAACUUUAGCCGGAAAGAAGAGGCUGAAUCUUGCUCAUGUGAGACAGAGGAUGAAGUAUUUUAAGUCAGCAGGGGAGAAAACAAGCUCAUUAAGCGAGACAUGACAGUGGGCGGGCUAACCUGUUAAUUUGCGAUGAAUUUCACUAGUCUCAAGAGGAACAUUUCCAGGCUUCCUUCAGAUGUUCUUACACCCUAUGACAUAUUCACAAGGAAGGGAAAAAAUCCACCUUUGUAUUUUCAUGACGUGUCAAACUUGAGAUUCUGUGUCAACAACCAGAAUUCUCUAAAUCAAAGAAGUGACUAGGCAAUCAUUUGAGGCUUAGAAUAGCAUUUGACCAGAUGAACUCAAUCUUGACAUUGGUAGAAGUCAACUUGGAAACGUCCAUUCUUGAGCUGUCAUGGUAAGUGGUAACUUGGAAACGUCCAUUCUGUGCCAAGGCAAGGGGUGUUAUGUAGCACUUGUAGUGCAGUGCAACAUAUUUAGGGCACGGAUGGUUUAAAACAAUGUAACACAUUUUGAAUACUUUGUAACUCUACGUGAAAAGAAUUACUUGUAAAAUUUCAUAAUAGAUACAUAAUUAUUAUGCAUGGCAUUCAUUUGAACAGUAAUAAAAUAUUACACUCUUGCUGUAAA